Molecule: transfer RNA, 72 nt
Filed under: Candidatus Omnitrophota bacterium
Lineage: Bacteria; Pseudomonadati; Candidatus Omnitrophota
Description: tRNA-Lys
Rfam family: tRNA
About the family: Transfer RNA (tRNA) molecules are approximately 80 nucleotides in length.
Source: RNAcentral
GGGCCGGUAGCUCAUUAGGAAGAGCGCCAGACUUUUAAUCUGGUGAGCGUGGUUCGAAUCCACGCCGGCCCA